This 253-nucleotide ribosomal RNA is filed under the name uncultured bacterium. RNAcentral's name for it is "partial 16S ribosomal RNA". It matches the Rfam family "Bacterial small subunit ribosomal RNA", at positions 524 to 776 of the family's 1533-position model. The record is from RNAcentral.
UACGUAGGGUGCGAGCGUUGUCCGGAAUUAUUGGGCGUAAAGGGCUCGUAGGCGGUCUGUCACGUCGGGAGUGAAAACUCGGGGCUUAACCCUGAGCCUGCUUCCGAUACGGGCAGACUAGAGGUAUGCAGGGGAGAACGGAAUUCCUGGUGUAGCGGUGAAAUGCGCAGAUAUCAGGAGGAACACCGAUGGCGAAGGCAGGUCUCUGGGCAUUAACUGACGCUGAGGAGCGAAAGCAUGGGGAGCAAACAGG